GCGCGGUGCUUUGAGAGGCUAAAGCAAGUCUGCAUAAAACCCAGAGAAGAGGCUGUACAUCUCCUCUUUGCAUCCUGUCUGGAGUCACAGCU
This 92-nucleotide small nucleolar RNA is filed under the name Prolemur simus (greater bamboo lemur). RNAcentral's name for it is "Small nucleolar RNA SNORA26 (ENSPSMG00000014529.1)". It matches the Rfam family "Small nucleolar RNA SNORA26". From Rfam's summary of the family: The snoRNA HBI-6 belong to the H/ACA family of snoRNAs, guiding the pseudouridylation of position U4522 if the 28S rRNA. The record is from RNAcentral. Lineage: Eukaryota; Metazoa; Chordata; Mammalia; Primates; Lemuridae.